GAUGAACGCUGGCGGCGUGCCUAAUACAUGCAAGUCGAACGAGGUGCUUUUGUAGUAAUACGGAAGUAUCCUAGUGGCGAACGGGUGAGUAACGCGUUGGUGACCUACCCCAAAGUGUGGAAUAACAGUUCGAAAGGAUUGCUAAUACCGCAUGUGGUCAUUGGAUUUAGAAACCGAUGUCUAAAGGAGUAAUCCGCUUUGGGAGGGACCUGCGUCCCAUCAGCUAGUUGGUGAGGUAACGGCUCACCAAGGCGACGACGGGUAGGGGACCUGAGAGGGUGACCCCCCACAAUGGAACUGAAACACGGUCCAUACACCUACGGGUGGCAGCAGUAGGGAAUAUUGCACAAUGGGCGAAAGCCUGAUGCAGCAACGCCGCGUGCGCGAAGAAGGCCCUCGGGUCGUAAAGCGCUUUUCUGGGAGAUGAGU
RNAcentral lists this ribosomal RNA (429 nucleotides) under uncultured bacterium. RNAcentral's name for it is "bacterial SSU rRNA". It matches the Rfam family "Bacterial small subunit ribosomal RNA", at positions 28 to 450 of the family's 1533-position model. The record is from RNAcentral.